RNAcentral lists this ribosomal RNA (305 nucleotides) under uncultured bacterium. RNAcentral's name for it is "bacterial SSU rRNA". It matches the Rfam family "Bacterial small subunit ribosomal RNA", at positions 338 to 640 of the family's 1533-position model. The record is from RNAcentral.
CCUACGGGAAGCAGCAGUGAGGAAUAUUGGUCAAUGGCCGGAAGGCUGAACCAGCCAAGUCGCGUGAGGGACGACUGCCCUAUGGGAUGUAAACUUCUUUUAUAAAGGAAUAAAGUGAGGCACGUGUGCCUUUUUGUAUGUACUUUAUGAAUAAGGAUCGGCUAACUCCGUGCCAGCAGCCGCGGUAAUACGGAGGAUCCGAGCGUUAUCCGGAUUUAUUGGGUUUAAAGGGAGCGUAGAUGGGUUGUUAAGUCAGUUGUGAAAGUUUGCGGCUCAACCGUAAAAUUGCAAUUGAUACUGGCAGU